UACGGAGGGAGCUAGCGUUGUUCGGAAUUACUGGGCGUAAAGGGCGCGUAGGCGGCCUUCUAAGUCGAACGUGAAAUCCCCGGGCUCAACCCGGGAACUGCGUCCGAUACUGGAAGGCUUGAAUCCGGGAGAGGGAUGUGGAAUUCCAGGUGUAGCGGUGAAAUGCGUAGAUAUCUGGAGGAACACCGGUGGCGAAGGCGGCCAUCUGGACCAGCACUGACACUGAGGCACGAAAGCGUGGGGAGCAAACAGG
This 253-nucleotide ribosomal RNA is filed under the name uncultured bacterium. RNAcentral describes it as "partial 16S ribosomal RNA". It matches the Rfam family "Bacterial small subunit ribosomal RNA", at positions 524 to 776 of the family's 1533-position model. The record is from RNAcentral.